RNAcentral lists this transfer RNA (59 nucleotides) under Haemaphysalis yeni. RNAcentral describes it as "tRNA-His". The record is from RNAcentral. Lineage: Eukaryota; Metazoa; Arthropoda; Arachnida; Ixodida; Ixodidae.
GUUUAAUUAGUUUAUUAAAAUAGUAAAUUGUGGAUUUACAGAUGAAUUUUCAUUAAACA